Molecule: ribosomal RNA, 540 nt
Filed under: uncultured bacterium
Lineage: Bacteria
Description: SSU rRNA
Rfam family: Bacterial small subunit ribosomal RNA
Source: RNAcentral
AGAGUUUGAUCMUGGCUCAGAACGAACGCUGGCGGCGUGCUUAACACAUGCAAGUCGAACGCGAAAGGGACUUCGGUCCCGAGUAGAGUGGCGCACGGGUGAGUAACGCGUAAGUAAUCUACCCCUGUAUCUGGAAUAACCCACCGAAAGGUGAGCUAAUACCGGAUACGUUUAUCUUGAUGCGAAUGAUGAUAAAGAAAGGUGGCCUCUUCAUGAAAGCUACCGUACAGGGACGAGCUUGCGUACCAUUAGCUGGUUGGUAGGGUAAUGGCCUACCAAGGCGACGAUGGUUAGCGGGUCUGAGAGGAUGAUCCGCCACACUGGAACUGAAACACGGACCAGACUCCUACGGGAGGCAGCAGUGAGGAAUAUUGCGCAAUGGGGGCAACCCUGACGCAGCGACGCCGCGUGGACGAUGAAGGCCCUUGGGUCGUAAAAUCCUGUCAGAUGGAAAGAAAUGUACAGGUGUUAAUAUCGCCUGUAUUUGACGGUACCAUCAAAGGAAGCACCGGCUAACUCCGUGCCAGCAGCCGCGGUAAU